GAUGAAGAACGUAGCGAAAUGCGAUAAGUAAUGUGAAUUGCAGAAUUCAGUGAAUCAUCGAAUCUUUGAAUGCACAUUGCGCCCGCCAGUAUUCUGGCGGGCAUGCCUGUUCGAGCGUCAUUUCAACCAUCAAGCCCCAGGCUUGUGUUGGGGACCUGCGGCUGCCGCAGGCCCUGAAAACCAGUGGCGGGCUCGCUGUCACACCGGGCGUAGUAGAUUUUAUCUCGCUCAGGGCGUGCUGCGGGUUCCGGCCGUUAAAAAGCCUUUUUUACCCAAGGUUGACCUCGGAUCAGGUAGGAAGACCCGCUGAACUUAAGCAUAUCAAUAAGCGGAGGA
RNAcentral lists this unclassified non-coding RNA (336 nucleotides) under soil metagenome. RNAcentral's name for it is "partial contains 5.8S ribosomal RNA, internal transcribed spacer 2, and large subunit ribosomal RNA". The stretch from base 1 to 120 matches the Rfam family "5.8S ribosomal RNA", at positions 35 to 154 of the family's 154-position model. The record is from RNAcentral.